UAAAUUACUUGUUAAGAAAUAAUAUGUAUAUAAGUUAAGUGAUAAAAAUAAUUUUAAAAAAAAAAUUUUAGUAUUUUUUAAAGAAAGAAUAUAAUAACAAUAGUUCAUUAGUAUUGUAAGAGAAAGUUUAAUGUGUAUAUAUUAUAAUUUAAAGUAAAUUUUAAGAUUUGUACCUUGUGUAUUAGGGAUAUAUACAUAUAUUUUCAAAUUUUAAUCAUCCAUAAUACAGAAGGUACAAAUCUUAAUAUUUACUUUAAAAUAGUUUAUCAAAAACAUGUCUGUUUGAUGUUAUAAAUGGUCUAACCUGCCCACUGAAAAAGUUUAAAGGGCCGCGGUAUUUUAACCGUGCAAAGGUAGCAUAAUAAUUAGUCUUUUAAUUGGAGGCUUGAAUGAAUGGUUGAACAAAUAAAUGAUUGUCUCUUUUUUAAAAUUUGAAUUUAACUUUUAAGUGAGAAGGCUUAAAUAAUUCAAGGGGACGAUAAGACCCUAUAAAUCUUUAUAUAAAUAUUUAUUUUUAAUUGAUAAUUAGUGUUUAAUAAUUUUAAAUAAAUAAUAUAUUGUAUUGGGGUGAUAAAAGUAUAAAUAGUGUAACUGCUUAUAUUUAAAUACUUAUAAUGUUUGUUUAUUUUUAAUGAUCCUUUUUAAGAUUUUAAGAUUAAGUUACUUUAGGGAUAACAGCGUUAUUUUUUUUAAGAGUUCUUAUCGAAAAAAAAGUUUGCGACCUCGAUGUUGAAUUAAAAUUUCUUUAUAAUGUAGCCGUUAUAGAAGAAGGUCUGUUCGACCUUUAAUAUUUUACAUGAUUUGAGUUCAGACCGGCGUAAGCCAGGUUGGUUUCUAUCUCUUGAUUUUUAUAAAUCUAUUUUAGUACGAAAGGAUUGAAUAGUUUAAAUAAUUUUUAUAGUUAGAUUGUUUU
Molecule: ribosomal RNA, 913 nt
Filed under: Latreillia valida
Lineage: Eukaryota; Metazoa; Arthropoda; Malacostraca; Decapoda; Latreilliidae
Description: 16S ribosomal RNA
Rfam family: Bacterial large subunit ribosomal RNA (bases 671-829)
Source: RNAcentral